CUUGUGCAGCCUUGCGCUGCCUUGAGGGUGUGCUCCGUCAGGCCGCCGUUCCUGAAUUCGGUAGCUCGUAGCUAAAUUUUGUCUCUGUGCACCACGCCUACUCGUCUGUUAACACACCUUCAGGGACAGUGGCCCCACCGCCUCCCUGGGUAGCCCGUGCUAACAACGCUACACAGCCCUCUGUGUGGAAAAAGUUUUCCUACUGUCCACCCUGACCCUCCCCAGGCACAAUUUGAGACCGUUACCAAAAAAAGAUUCCCUCGGGGAAAGGAAAGCCGUGCACCCGCCUUGGAGCACUUUGUCCCGGGCUGUGCCGUGAGGAGAGGAGCAGCAGUGCAGAGGGGAGCAUGUGGAGAUGCGCCCGGAGAAGGAGCAGCCGGCACAGCUGCCAGCCCUUCCCGUUGGGUUUCCAGGCAGGAGUAAAACAAUGGCUGCUGAGAUAUGUUACAUGGAAUGGGAACCUGGACUACCUCUUGCACAAAGCUGCUGAGGAAAAGCAUACGACUUAGAGAUGCUUCCAAGUUUUCAUACGGACUGAACAGGAUUCGGUGCAGAACCCACAGAUGUGGAUUUACCAGAGGGCUCACAGAAGGUGAUUCCAGCAGAUGCCAGCUAUGAGCCUCCUGCUAUUGUAAGGCCGUACAGCCAAGGAGUGCUGAGUCAGCUGCACGACAGAGGAGUCCAGAGAAGCAAAGUGGGAUCAGAUGUGAAAAGUUUGGGUGUAACCCAUUGUGCUGCCCUUUGCUGACAGCCUCAAGACCCUGUGCCUACCUUCAGGCUGUACAGAGACCCAGAUAUGCUUCCAACAAGUCUUCAAAAAGUUGUUGUUCAUUACAAAAGAAAGUGCUCCAUG
Molecule: long non-coding RNA, 853 nt
Filed under: Gallus gallus (chicken)
Lineage: Eukaryota; Metazoa; Chordata; Aves; Galliformes; Phasianidae
Description: lncRNA (ENSGALG00010019929.1)
Source: RNAcentral